Molecule: transfer RNA, 72 nt
Filed under: Ovis aries (sheep)
Lineage: Eukaryota; Metazoa; Chordata; Mammalia; Artiodactyla; Bovidae
Rfam family: tRNA
About the family: Transfer RNA (tRNA) molecules are approximately 80 nucleotides in length. Their secondary structure includes four short double-helical elements and three loops (D, anti-codon, and T loops).
Source: Rfam by way of RNAcentral
CCCCUUGUGGCUCAGAUGGUAGAGAGUCUGCCUGUAGUGCAGAACACCCAGGUUUGAUCCCUGGGUUGGGAA